RNAcentral lists this ribosomal RNA (253 nucleotides) under uncultured bacterium. Its description in RNAcentral is "partial 16S ribosomal RNA". It matches the Rfam family "Bacterial small subunit ribosomal RNA", at positions 524 to 776 of the family's 1533-position model. The record is from RNAcentral.
GACAGAGGUGCCGAGCGUUGGGCGGAAUCACUGGGCUUAAAGCGUGUGUAGGCGGAUCUGUAAGUACCUUGUGAAAUCCCACGGCUCAACCGUGGAACUGCUUGGUAUACUGCGGGUCUUGAGCCACCUAGGGGCAAGUGGAACAAACGGUGGAGCGGUGAAAUGCGUAGAUAUCGUUUGGAACGCCAAUGGUGAAAACAACUUGCUGGGGGUGUGCUGACGCUGAGACACGAAAGCCAGGGGAGCAAACGGG